UCGAGCAAAAAAGACUCUCACUAAGUUCACUUAGAGAGCCGCUAGUGGGUCGCCGAGGAUCGGGCCCGACCAGACAGGUCGGUGUCCCGACCCGAGGCCGGUCGCCGGCUAACCAGCCGAACGCGACCGCCCGUCUAGCGCGAGUAAGGGAGGCACCAGGGUUCCUCGCCGAUCGCGAGCGCCGACCCGGACGCCGUCUCGCCUUACUC
This 209-nucleotide unclassified non-coding RNA is filed under the name uncultured fungus. RNAcentral's name for it is "sequence contains ITS1, 5.8S rRNA gene". Lineage: Eukaryota; Fungi. The record is from RNAcentral.